UAGUCUUUAUAUUUACAUAGAAAAAACUGAAAGUAGGAUCUCUGUUCCUAAACUGGAAGACUGGGUGAGAGGGGGAGAGAGAAAGCAAGGCUACCAGCCAUCUUACACAGUGCAAGGAAUGGUCCCCAAUCCAUCUUGAUAAACUAGUGUUUCAGAAUGCUAUUCAGAAGACAGCACAGCAGAAGGCUACGAAGCUGGUCUGCUGCAUUUGUGGCACACUUCCUGGAAGAGUGACAGACGUGUCAUCCUUCUGUUUUGUUUUGUGUUUUUGUUGAGUCACAUUGGAGACCUUCCAGACUCCUUAACAAAUAAGACGAGGCUCAUAAAUUACCUUUACCAGCAAGAAUAAAACAGCCCCCUGCACACCUGCCUACCAGGCUUGUCCAACUUGAACACUGGUGAGGUCAGUCUGCUAG
This is a long non-coding RNA of Dromaius novaehollandiae (emu), 416 nucleotides long. RefSeq lists it as uncharacterized. The transcript has 4 exons. NCBI's taxonomy places the organism in Eukaryota, Metazoa, Chordata, Aves, Casuariiformes, Dromaiidae. The record is from RefSeq and is a predicted model, not a curated record.